RNAcentral lists this ribosomal RNA (441 nucleotides) under uncultured bacterium. RNAcentral describes it as "bacterial SSU rRNA". It matches the Rfam family "Bacterial small subunit ribosomal RNA", at positions 340 to 769 of the family's 1533-position model. The record is from RNAcentral.
UACGGGAGGACGAGCAGUGGGGGAAUAUUGCACAAUGGGCGCAAGCCUGAUGCAGCCAUGCCGCGUGUAUGAAAAGGCCUUCGGGUUGUAAAGUACUUUCUAGUCGUGAGGAAGGUGUUAAGGUUAAUAACCUUAGCAAUUGACGUUAGCGACAGAAGAAGCACCGGCUAACUCCGUGCCAGCAGCCGCGGUAAUACGGAGGGUGCGAGCGUUAAUCGGAAUUACUGGGCGUAAAGGGCACGCAGGCGGUUAAUUAAGUUGGAUGUGAAAUCCCCGGGCUUAACCUGGGAAUGGCAUUCAAGACUGGUUAGCUAGAGUCUUGUAGAGGGGGUAGAAUUCCAUGUGUAGCGGUGAAAUGCGUAGAGAUGUGGAGGAAUACCGGUGGCGAAAGGCGGCCCCCUGGACAAAGACUGACGCUCAUGUGCGAAAAGCGUGGGGAGC